Molecule: ribosomal RNA, 253 nt
Filed under: uncultured bacterium
Lineage: Bacteria
Description: partial 16S ribosomal RNA
Rfam family: Bacterial small subunit ribosomal RNA
Source: RNAcentral
UACGAGUGCCUCAAGCGUUAUCCGGAAUCAUUGGGCGUAAAGGAUGUGUAGGUGGCCGCAUUAGUCUUUUGUUAAAUUUCCCGGCUUAACUGGGAACCUGCAGAAGAAACGGUGCGGCUAGAGGAUGCAAGGGGUCUGUGGAACUCAUAGUGUAGCGGUGAAAUGCGUUGAUAUUAUGGGGAACACCAAAAGCGAAGGCAACAGACUGGGGCACUCCUGACACUGAAACAUGAAAGCGUGGGUAGCGAAUGGG